UACAUAGGGUGCAAGCGUUAAUCGGAAUUACUGGGCGUAAGGCGCACGCAGGCGGUCUGUUAAGUCAGAUGUGAAACCCCCGGGCUUAACCUGGAACUGCAUUUGAAACUGGCAGGCUUGAGUCUUGUAGAGGGGGGUAGAAUUCCAGGUGUAGCGGUGAAAUGCGUAGAGAUCUGGAGGAAUACCGGUGGCGAAGGCGGCCCCCUGGACAAAGACUGACGCUCAGGUGCGAAAGCGUGGGGAGCAAACAGG
Molecule: ribosomal RNA, 252 nt
Filed under: uncultured bacterium
Lineage: Bacteria
Description: partial 16S ribosomal RNA
Rfam family: Bacterial small subunit ribosomal RNA
Source: RNAcentral